This 233-nucleotide long non-coding RNA is filed under the name Setaria viridis. Its description in RNAcentral is "long non-coding RNA (SVIR_LNC001372)". The record is from RNAcentral. Lineage: Eukaryota; Viridiplantae; Streptophyta; Magnoliopsida; Poales; Poaceae.
CACAUCCUAAAUGCAUUCGAUCAGUUGCUCGAUCGCGUUCUUCACCACGGGCACUGCUUGUGCGGCCAUGUCGUAUUCCGUGGGCCGGCACAUCUCGUCCAUGUUCGUGCGGUCCUUGGCAUACGGCGCGCUAGCAUGGCUGGCCGGCGGCGGCGCGGCGUGUUGCCACGUGAGUAUUGCCAAAUCUCGCCGACCGCAACGACGCCGAGCAGGCCGAGGCGUAGAUAUGACGU